Long non-coding RNA from Trichomycterus rosablanca, 332 nucleotides. RefSeq lists it as uncharacterized. Lineage: Eukaryota; Metazoa; Chordata; Actinopteri; Siluriformes; Trichomycteridae. The transcript has 2 exons. The record is from RefSeq and is a predicted model, not a curated record.
UUGAACUUUUGAUGGCAUGUGGAAACAAACUGGUUUCACCAAAGUUGCACGAGGGCCAGAAACUAAAUGGCUUCAUGAUUCACAAUACAUUUACAUCAAAGGCAGUGUACAGUAGACCAUUACACAUUUACGUUUGUCACCACAGAUUUAGAGGACAGUGGUGUGGAGGUUGACACGACAACAGCAUCUAGUGACCACAGAAGUACCACACCAGUCAUUGUAUGACUACAAGGGCUAAGGAUACCUUAAUCCACCUGAGUGACAGAUUAUUUGCUGUUGAGACUGUUCUGAAAUAUUUGGUUUCUGCAUGCAACAAUAAAUAAGAAACAUUU